Schistosoma rodhaini is the source of this 45-nucleotide non-coding RNA. The record is from Rfam. NCBI's taxonomy places the organism in Eukaryota, Metazoa, Platyhelminthes, Trematoda, Strigeidida, Schistosomatidae.
AUCCAGCUGACAAGUCCCGAAUAGGACGAAACGCGUGUCCUGGAU